This 72-nucleotide transfer RNA is filed under the name Camelus bactrianus (Bactrian camel). It matches the Rfam family "tRNA". From Rfam's summary of the family: Transfer RNA (tRNA) molecules are approximately 80 nucleotides in length. Their secondary structure includes four short double-helical elements and three loops (D, anti-codon, and T loops). Lineage: Eukaryota; Metazoa; Chordata; Mammalia; Artiodactyla; Camelidae. The record is from Rfam by way of RNAcentral. RNAcentral also lists the same sequence under 2 other names.
GAAGGUAUAGCUCAGUGGUAGAGCACAUGCUUAGCACGCAUGAAGUCCUGGGUUCAGUCCUUAGUACCUCCA